RNAcentral lists this ribosomal RNA (496 nucleotides) under uncultured bacterium. Its description in RNAcentral is "bacterial SSU rRNA". It matches the Rfam family "Bacterial small subunit ribosomal RNA", at positions 28 to 509 of the family's 1533-position model. The record is from RNAcentral.
GAUGAACGCUAGCGGCAGGCUUAAUACAUGCAAGUUGAGGGGCAGCAUGAUAUACGCGAGUAUAUUGAUGGCGACCGGCGGACGGGUGAGUAAUAGGUAGGAGACCUACCUCAUACAGGGGGAUAGCAUAGAGAAAUCUGUGGUAAUACCCCAUGAGGUUAUAUGAAUAGAGGCAUAUAAUCAAAGCAUAAGCGAUUAUGCGGUAUGAGAGGGGCCUACUGACCAUUAGCUAGUUGGUGAGGUAAGGGCUCACCAAGGCGAAGAUGGUUAGGGGUUUUGAGAGAGAGACCCCCCACAUUGGAACUGAGAGACGGGUCCAGACUCCUACGGGAGGCAGGCAGUAGGGAAUAUUGGGCAAUGGGCGAAAGCCUGACCCAGCCAUGCCGCGUGAAGGAGACGGCCUUAUGGGUUGUAAACUUCUUACUACGCGAAUAGAGGUUAUACGAGAUACUAAUAGGAAGGUAGUGUAGUAAAAGCACCGGCUAACGUCCGUGCC